Rosa rugosa (rugosa rose) is the source of this 678-nucleotide long non-coding RNA. RefSeq lists it as uncharacterized. The record is from RefSeq and is a predicted model, not a curated record. NCBI's taxonomy places the organism in Eukaryota, Viridiplantae, Streptophyta, Magnoliopsida, Rosales, Rosaceae. The transcript is spliced from 3 exons.
UUUCGAAUCUGUAGGUCCGGGAUCUGAUGGCGGUGGCGAUCGACUCGGUAAUCAGCAGUUGUUCCAGUGGUACGGCGGCCAACGUGGUGGUCCGAUUCGUCGAUCGCCGUCGAGUUUCUUGACUCAGAUAUUCUAGGGUUUCUCGAAGAUGGAGCAGGUAUGGAUGUCCAUUCUGACUUACAAAACAUUGGUUUUGGUAGAUUUGAACUGAUGCAUCCUUCCUGCAAGUAGACUGAAAGCAGGACCAGUAUGUUGUGAUAAGAAACAGGUGACCAGGAAAAUGACAAGUGGUUGAAGUAGAGCAAAACAUAUAUAGCAUAACAUAGUUUACCCAAGGCUCAUUUGAGGAUUAAUAAAGGUAAUUUACCAUAAGUUAAAGAAAUUUUUACUGCUUUUGGCAUUGCUUUGGGUUAGCGAUUUACUUGUUGAUUAAUAUGAACUCUUAUCUUCUAUUAUUUAUAUAAAUUUACUCGGGCGCAUUAGAGAAAUAUCAAGGACAUGAAGUUUGAUUUGUGGGUAUGUUUGUCAAGUAUAAUGUUUUAAUGAGUGCAUUAGCUUGUCUGUAAUUUCCCUUUUGGUUGUUAAACUGUUAGUAAUAUUUAUGAUCAAUUCCACAAAGUUUCUUUGCCCUAUUGAUACUGUUCUAUAUUAGAGUGAAAAAGAUAGUAUCUACUCGUC